Long non-coding RNA from Cavia porcellus (domestic guinea pig), 7555 nucleotides. RefSeq lists it as uncharacterized. The record is from RefSeq and is a predicted model, not a curated record. NCBI's taxonomy places the organism in Eukaryota, Metazoa, Chordata, Mammalia, Rodentia, Caviidae. The transcript is spliced from 2 exons.
GGAGAGCGUGGGGAGGAGCUGCUGGGGAGCCAGGCCAGAGCGGGAGGAGGUCGAGGCCGGGAGCACUCUGGGAAGGUGGGGAUCGGAGCCCCCGGAGGGCUGCCCGGAGCGCGGGGACAGGUGCGGGGAGCCUUGGUGGCGCCCACCUCUCUGCGUCCUCCGCCAGCUACCCCCCGUCCCCAGAUGUCUUGGCCCAGGUCUAUCCCCGCCCCCCAGCUCAAGGGGCACAGUGGGAAACGUAGCCCUGCUCAAUGGAGCUCGGCGAUAGGCUUCUUUUAUUUUUCUUUGGGUAAAGGAUCCGCUGAGCCUGGAAAACGUGGAUGCCAAAAGGGGUAGUUUGAUCUCUGCAGAGGUCUGAAGCCAGAAAGGGAGAAGCCCAAAACAUCCUCUCUUCACCAGCAAACCACUAAAAUGCUCCCAAGUUUUGUCUUGUCGCCCUCACUUCCCUUCCCACACUACCCCCAUCCCUCGCCACAAGAAGUUUCUCUGAGUGGGCGGCUGCUAGGUAGAAUUUCUAAGGAAGUCAUUUCAGGACUCCUUCGCCAGAGCUCUAAGCCUUCUUCUCCCGCAGCGCGCGCAAGCUGCUCCGUGGCUCUCUAGGCCUGGACCUCAACUCUAGAGUGUACGCUAGAACCUGUCUCCAGCUUAGUGUCCUCUUCUAUCCUUUUCCUGCUCUGUCCACCCGAGAAGCACUGGCCUACGCCCCUCUACAGGACGGUGGUGUAGGGAAAGGUUAGCUUGCACGAGCCUAGGGAGGCCCACCCAGCUCUGGCCUGGGGGAGGGGAGCUCCUCCUGAAACAAUAGGAAAAUGUGGUGGCAGCCACCAGGUUCCAAAGCCCCUUUCAGCCCCAACCUGAUUUGAAUGCCUGGGAGUGACUCACAGGGGCCAGCUCACCUCCGUGGAGGCUGAUUCCCAUACAAUGACGGUUUGGUGCUGAGGACGGAACCCAGGGCUUCCAGCUUGCUAGGCAAGUGUUCUACCACUCAGCCAAGUCUCCAGCCCCGAGGAUGACAAAGUUUCAACAUCCAAAGAAAAUCAGAAGAUUUGCAAGGAACUACGUAGAGUAAUAAUGGUUCUUAGAAUUACAUAUACUGUCCCAUGUUCUUUGUCUUGCCAGCAUUAAGGUCACAAGGCAACGAAGGGUAGGGGAAAGUGCUCCUUGCGAAAGUUUGCUAAAUAAGAAAGCCCUGGCCAAGGAGCCUGGUCUCAGGAGCUGGUUUCUGCCCAGCCUCUUUCAGGUGGCUGUUGCCAUGGUGUUUUAGGGGCAGAGGGGAGGAGUGAAGAUCAAGGAGACUCUUUCAGGCUGAAUCUUGUCCGGUGUUGCUUUUCAGAGUUCGUUGUGUUAAGGACAGCAGGAAUUUAAAUACCUAUGGGGGAAGGUUGGAGCGUAUUUGUUGUGCUUCUCCUCGUUUGUUUUUCCAUUCUCAUUGCUCCUAUACGGGAAAGCCAAAGCUCCUGUUAUGUACAGGAGAAGCGGGAGGAGGAGGGUUGGGUGGGAGUGGGAGAGAGAGAGAGGGUGAGUGUCAGGGACACAUUAUAAAGACAAUUUGUUAAAUUCAUUUUUUUUUUUUUUGUCUUUUUCAUUUUUACCGGUACCAGGGAUCGAACUCAUGACCGCCUGCUUACAAGGCAGGUGCUUAUGCCGCUGAGCUAAAUCCCCAGCCCCUACAAUUUGUUAAAUUCUGCAGAUCCUCAAGAUGGGCAUUAGAAAGAUGAUCAGACAGAUACAGUCAGAAGAGAGGGGACAGUGAGAAAGGCCACGACAGCAGUCAAGAGGAAAGCAGAGGGCCGGGAUAUAGCUCUGUGGCCAAGUGCUUACCUGCCAAGUGCAAGGUCCUGAGUUCAAUUCCUGUUACAAAAAAACAAAACAAAACAAAAAACACAGCACAUCAGACUGACAAGAAAGAAAGAUUUCAGUAGCAGAAACAAGUUUUUGGAGGGACUGGAAUUACUAAAGGAACUACGUCAGAAACUAUGAAUAAUAUUCAGUUAAUAGAAUAGAAAGAACCUUGGGGGAACAGGUGGCACCUAGGACUUUGGAGCGGGAAGGGACCUUCAGGAUCAUCUCCAAAUCUCACCUUUCAGAUAAGGAAACUAAGACCCUGAGAAGUCAAGUGAUCAAAAAAGGCUCUCUGGAAGCAGAUCUUAUCUGAGAAAAUUGUUCUCCUACCACAUCAUGAAACUGGAGAAGAAACAGGGCAAAAUGAGUGGGAGGCCAAGGAUAAGUAAAAAUGAAAAGCUAGAUCUUAAUUUAGUAAUCCUCUCUAGAGUUUAUGAACUUUUUUCUAAAAUAUUGUGUUCUUAGCAACCAGUCCCAGUUGGAUAACUUCAUGCGAGGGUUUUUAGUCAGAUAAUUUGUUACCCAGUUUUAGACGCUAUUCCAAUGAUCACUCUGUGAUUUAUUUAAGCACCAUCUUCCUCCUCCUUCUCCACUUGCUUUUUUAGGUGCUCAGGCUCAACUCAGGGCCUUAGUGCCUGUUAGAUAGGCUCUACCACUGUGGUAUACUUCACCCUCAGUCCUGAGAAUAUUCUGAUGAUUUUUAUUAAUUUUUAAUUAUAUUUUUAAAAUAUAUAUUUGUUUUAGAAAUUUUUUAAUUUAUCAAUUUUGAACUUACAACAUAACCUCUAAUGACACCUUUUUUUUUUUUUUUUGGUACAGGGAUUGAGCUUACAACCUCGUGCUCGCCAGGCAGGUGCCUAUACUGCUGAGCUAAAUCCCCAGCCUUUCUAAUUUAUAUUUUAAGUGCCUAUCCUUUUAAUAUGCUCUUGGUGCAAUUUAUUUUUUCACAAGUAGUUUUUGGGCACCUUGUAUGUGCCAAGUUCCUAGCAUGCAUAGGAAAUACAAGUAUAUUAAUGAUACAGGUAUUUUAAAAUUAAUUAAUUCUACAAAGUGAGCUCAAGGCCAGCAUGAACUGCAUAGAGGGACCCUGUCUCAAAAAAGGCAAAUAAAUUAAUUAAUCCAGUCGUGCUGGGGGUUGAGCCCAAGAGUUUUGCCACUGAGCUACAUCCCUCGCCUUCCCACACACAUUUUUUUUUUAUUAUUAAAUAUUGGUAUGCAAAUGAAUGAGUUUCAUUUGGGGCAGGUUUUUGUAUGCAUGUAACAUAAUUUAAUCACUCUUUUCUUUCCCAAUACCUGCAAUCAAGCAUUAAGAUGCCUCUAAACAUGUUCCUGUUGCUGUGGCUAUUCUGGCUCUUUUGUGUUUCCAUACGAAUUUUAAGAUUGUUUUUCUAGUUCUUUGAGGAAUGACAUUGGUAGGUUGAUGAGGAGUACAUUGAAUCUGUAGAUCACUUGGUAAGUCUAAGUAUGGCCAUUUGAGCAAUAUUACAGCUGCCAAUCCAUGAACAUGGAAGGUCUUUCUUCUAGUGUCUUUUUCAAAGUUUUCUUCAGUGUUCUGAAAAAAAAAAAUUUUUUUUUUUUGAUACUGGGGAUCAAACUCACUACCUUGUGCUUGUCAGGAAGGUGCUUAUGCCACUGAGCAAAUCCCCUGUCCCUGAAAUUUUCACUGUAGAGGUCUUUUACCUCUUUGGUUAGAUUUAUACCUAAGUUGUUUUUCUUUAUUUUUUUUUCUUUUUUUUACUUUUAUGAGUUGUUUUUCUUAAAGCUUUUGAAAAUUGAAUUGUUUUUCUAAUUUCUUUCCCCUCUAGUCUAUUGCCAAUGUAUAGAAAAUAAACUAUUUUUUUAAUCUUGAUUUUAUAUUCUGCUCUAAAAGUCUUUUGGGGGUCUGGGGUAUAAAUCAUGGGCCUAGUACCUGCCUGGCAAGCACGAGGUCCUGAGUUCAAUUUCUAGUGCAAAAAAAAAAAGUGGACAUCUUUGCCUCAUUUCUGCUUUGAGAGGGAAUGCUUUCAGCUUUUUCUCUUCUAAAAUGAUACUGGCAGGCCGGAAGUGGUGGUAUAUGCCUGUAAUCCCAGCACUUGGGAAGCUGAGGCAGGAAGAUUACCAUGAGUUUAAAAUUAGCCUGGGCUACCAAGUAAGUUCAAGACCAGCCUGAACUGCACAAUAAAACCCUGUUUUUUUUUUUUUUUUUUUUUUUGGUACUGGGGCUUGACCUCAGGGCCUUAGCACUUGCAGUUGCCGGGCAGGUACUAUACCAUCCAAAACCCUAUUUCAAAAAACAAAAUGAAACAAACAAACAAGGGCUGGGGGUUUAGUUCAGUGACAUUAGCACCUGCCUGGCAAGCAUGAGGUCGUGAGUUUGAUCCCUAGUACUGCAAAAGAAAAAAAAAAAAAAACCAACCCCCAAAAUGGAGAAACCAAAGAUGCUGGCUGUGGAUUGAUAGCCUUUACUCCUUUAUUGUAUGAGGAAUGACCCUUCAGUGCCUGGUUUCUUCAGGCUUCCGUUAUGAAUGGGUGGAUUUUGUUACUCCUUUUCCUGUGUCACUUGAGUUAUCAUGUGGUUUUUAGUCUUGAUUUUAUUUGUGUGGUAUGUGACAUUUAUCAGUUUGCAUAUGUUGAACCAUCCUUGUUUCUCCGGAAUGAAGCCAACUUGAUUGUAGUGUAUCAUCUUUCUAGUGUUUUUUGAAUUCAGCUUGCGAGUAUUUUAUGAGGGUUUUUGCAUCUGUAUUCAAGAAUAUGAGUCUAUAGUUUUCUUUUUUUUGUUGUGUCCUUGAUUUGUUUCAGUAUCAGGGUGAUGCUGGCCUUUCUUUUUCUAUUUCAUGGGUAAGUUUGGCCAGCACUCCUUUCUCCUUUAAAAGGGACUAGUGGGCUGGAACUAUAACUCAGCAGCCCAGUGCCUACCUAGCAAGUGCAAGGACCUGAGUUCGAUUCCCAGUACCAAGAUAGAUAAAUACAUAUAUAAGGGAGAUUUAGCUCAGUGGCAUAAGCGCCUGCCUGGCAAACAGGAGAUUGCGAGUUCAAUCCCUGGUACCCAAAACAAAACAAAUGCUCCUCAGUUACGAUCCACUAUCUAGGGGCAUUGAGUUGCUAUGAAUUUUGGGGUCAGGAAUUCAGCUCGGUGGCAUAAGUGCUUGCCUGGCAAGUGUGAGGUUGUGAGCUCAAUCGCCAGUACAAAAAAAAAGGGACUGGCAAAAUUGGCAUGUUGGUUCCAGGUUUUUCUUUUGGGACAGUUUUUAUUACUACCGCUUUACUCUCUCAUUGCUUUUUGUUUAUCUGUUUAGGUUUUCUAUCCUUUUGGCUUAGUUUUGGUAGAUCAUAUAUGCCUAGAAAUAUAUCCACUUCUGCUAGAUUCUCCAAUGUAUCAGAAUAUAGGUUUUCAAAGCUGUGCCAAAUAAUCCUAGGAUUUCAAUGGUAUCUGUUGUGAUAUGCUCCCUUUCAUCUCCAGUUUUAUUGACCUGGGUCUCCUUGUUAGUCUGGCUAAAGGUUUAUAAAUCUUGUUCACUUUUUGUAAAAGCCAACUCUGUUUAAUUAAUUCCAUGCAUUGUUCUUUUAGUCUCUGUCUCAGUAAUUUCAGCUGUAUCUUUAUUGUUUCUUUCCUUUUGUUGGGUAUGACUUUAGUUCUUGAUUUUACAGAAUGUUGAGGUGUAUCAUUAGGUUAUUUGUUUAAGAUCUCCCUGAUUUUUUAUAUAGGGCCUCAUCAUUUUCCCUCUUAGAAUGGCAUUUACUGUAUCAUGGAGAUCUGUUAUGUUGUAGUUCCCUAUGUAUUUGAUUCUAAGGGAUUUUAAAAUUAGCUCCCUGAUUUCUUUGAUGAUCAUUCAACAGUGAACUAUUCUAUCUCCAGCAUUUGUAUACUUCCUGUGAUUUUUCCUGCUGUUAAUUUCUAGUUUCAUUCCGUCAUUAUGUGAUAACAUACACAAAAUUAUUUCAGUCUUUUUGUCAGGGCUUCCUUUGUUAUAUAUUUUGGAGAAUAUUCUAUGAGCCAUUGAGAAUGCGCAUCUGUAUUUGUUGGGUGGAAUACUUGUAGCCAUCUGUUAAGUGGAUUUGAUGAGUGGUUUAGUCUAACUUUGGUGUUUCUCUGUUGAGUGUUUGCCUAGGUGACCUAUAUAUUGGUGAGAGUGGCGUACUGAAGUCAUUCCCUGUUAUUAUAUUGAGACCUAUGUGGCCAUUUAUGUCGAGUAGAGUUUGUUCGUAGAGUUGGGUGCAGCUGGUGUUUGACACACAUAUGUUUAAGUGUGUUAUGCUUUCUUAGUGGAUUGUUCCCUUUGCCUAUAGUGGUCUUCUUUGCCCCUCUGAUUUUGUCACGCUGCUUUCAUUAUUCUUGCCUUGUUCCGUACUCUUGCCAUUUAACUAUAGUGUGAUGUGGGGAGGUCCUUUUCCAAUUGUGCCCCUUUAGGAUUGCCUGUUUCUCAAUGUCUUUUAUAUCUACAGGUCAGUAUCUGCCCCCACAUUUGGGAAGUUUAUCUGUUAUUAUUCAUUAAAUGCAUUUUCUGUACCAUUAGUCUGAACCUCAGUGCCCUUAGUAAGUUUGGUCUUUUACCUGUGUCCCAGGCUUCUUGUAUAUUUGUUCAUAAUUUUUGGUUUUUCUUUCUUUCUGUCUGAAAUAGUGCCUCAAGUGUAUCAAGCCUUGAAAUUCUGUCUUCUGCAUAGUCCUUUCUAUUGGUGAAGAUGUCCACUGAGGUUUUUUUUUUUUUUUUUUUUUUUUUUUUCAUUUGAGUUGUGCUUUUCAUUUCUAUUUGGUUCUUCUUUGGAGACUGUAUUUAUUGGGUUGGGGAUGCAGCUCAGCAGCACAAGUGCCUACCUUACAAGUGCAAGGUCCUGAGUUUGAUUCCUGGUACCAAAAAACAAAACAAAACAAAACAAAAGGAAUCUCUGUUGAAUUGUUCUCUUAUAUCCUGCAUAAGAGAACAUAGAGAGGGAAUUUGGGAGAAAUAAGCCUGCUAUUCAGCAGAAAUUAUUUUUACCAUCACUUAACUCCAUCUUCACUUUUCAGAGGUCCGCCAUUUUUCCAAAGCGCGUUCUCUCUCUCUCUUCUCUCUCUCUCUCUCUCUCUCUCUCUCUCUCUGUCUCUCUCUCUGUCUCUCGCUCUGUCUCUCUCUCUGUCUCUCUCUCUGUCUCUCUCUCUCUUUCUGGUACUGGGGGUCAGACUUACCCUUGCACUUGCCAGGCAGGCACUUAUGCCUGCUGAGCUAAAUCCUUGGCCUUCUGUCUCUCUCUUUAGGCAAUGUGAGCUCCCACUACUAACUUUCCUUCCCUGCUUCCUCUCUCCCUUCCUCCCUUCCUCCCUUCCUUCCUCCUUCCUUCUUUCUUUUCUUUCUUUCUGAGGUAGGGUAGAAGAAAUAAAGACAGAAAGGAGAAAGGAAAAUCACAAUUUUCAAAUUGUACCUUAGAAACUGCAAAUUUCUUGUGGGUGCAAAUUUCCCAAGACUACAAUGUUUUUCCUUCCCAGGCUACUCACUUUCACAGUCUUAAUUUUUUUCUUUUUCUUUUUUCCCAAUUCUUUAAAAAUAAAAUAUAUUUGACCUAAGCCUUUCACCUGUAAACUGAGCCCCUGCUUUUUUCCCUUUACUAUAAAUUCACAAAUUCCACAGCUCUUCACUCCUAAGACUACAUAAAAAUUCCCAAACGCAAACCAUAAAAAGCCUGUCUCCUGAAUGCCCACUCUAUUCUCCCUGAGUACUUUUAAAUGCUGCCCAAUAAACCUUUCUAUGCCUCUCACUGA